GGUUCACUUAUAUAAGCUCUGUCAUCUGACACCCCUAGCUGUCCAUAAUCAUUGAGUCCACAGGCAUAAACACGACCAUGAUCUGUGAGAAAGAGAGAAUGAGCUCCGCCACAUGCAAUUUGACGGAGGUUUUGAUUAUGAAAAGCAGAAGAAGGAAGAACAUUAGGUCUCCAUUGCGACUCAAGACUUCCAUGCCCUAGCCUGCCAUGAUCACCGUUCCCCCAAAGGGCUGCUAAUCGCCGAUUUCCAUUAAAUUCAACACUGGAAACUGAAAAACACCUCACACACCACGAUGAUCUCUUUGUAACUGCUCUUCCUAUUAUCAUCUUUGUCGAUUGAAGGAAGAUGUUCAACUUCAGCGAUACUACAUACUUCUUCAAUAACUAGUCUAUGGCUUA
This 398-nucleotide unclassified non-coding RNA is filed under the name Hevea brasiliensis (rubber tree). The record is from RNAcentral. Lineage: Eukaryota; Viridiplantae; Streptophyta; Magnoliopsida; Malpighiales; Euphorbiaceae.